This 440-nucleotide ribosomal RNA is filed under the name uncultured bacterium. RNAcentral describes it as "partial 16S ribosomal RNA". It matches the Rfam family "Bacterial small subunit ribosomal RNA", at positions 338 to 795 of the family's 1533-position model. The record is from RNAcentral.
CCUACGGGAGGCAGCAGUGGGGGAUAUUGCACAAUGGGGGAAACCCUGAUGCAGCGACGCCGCGUGUGGGAAGACGGUCCUCUGGAUUGUAAACCACUGUCCCCAGGGACGAAGAUGACGGUACCUGGGGAGGAAGCUCCGGCUAACCACGUGCCAGCAGCCGCGGUAAUACGUAGGGAGCGAGCGUUGUCCGGAAUUACUGGGUGUAAAGGGAGCGUAGGCGGGACUGCAAGUUGGGUGUCAAAUCUACCGGCUCAACCGGUAGCCGCACUCAAAACUGCAGUUCUUGAGUGAAGUAGAGGCAGGCGGAAUGCCUAGUGUAGCGGUGAAAUGCGUAGAUAUUAGGAGGAACACCAGUGGCGAAGGCGGCCUGCUGGGCUUUUACUGACGCUGAGGCUCGAAAGUGUGGGGAGCGAACAGGAUUAGAUACCCGGGUAGUC